GACGAACGCUGGCGGCGUGCUUAACACAUGCAAGUCGAACGGAAAGGCCCUGCUUUUGUGGGGUGCUCGAGUGGCGAACGGGUGAGUAACACGUGAGUAACCUGCCCUUGACUUUGGGAUAACUUCAGGAAACUGGGGCUAAUACCGGAUAGGAGCUCCUGCUGCAGGGUGGGGGUUGGAAAGUUUCGGUGGUUGGGGAUGGACUCGCGGCGUAUGAGCUUGUUGGUGGGGUAGUGGCUUACCAAGGCUUUGCAGGGUAGCCGGGCUGGGCGGGUGACCGGCCACGUUGGGACUGAGAUGCGGCACAGACUCCAACGGGAGGCAACAGAGGAGAAUAGUGCACAAUGGGCGGAAGCCUGAUGCAGCAACGCCGCGUGCGGGAUGACGUCCUUCGGGUUGUAAACCGCUUUCGCCUGUGACGAGGCGUGAGUGACGGUAACGGGUAAAGAAGCACCGGCUAACUACGUG
Molecule: ribosomal RNA, 468 nt
Filed under: uncultured bacterium
Lineage: Bacteria
Description: partial 16S ribosomal RNA
Rfam family: Bacterial small subunit ribosomal RNA
Source: RNAcentral